This 434-nucleotide ribosomal RNA is filed under the name uncultured Blautia sp. Its description in RNAcentral is "partial 16S ribosomal RNA". It matches the Rfam family "Bacterial small subunit ribosomal RNA", at positions 341 to 792 of the family's 1533-position model. Lineage: Bacteria; Bacillati; Bacillota; Clostridia; Lachnospirales; Lachnospiraceae. The record is from RNAcentral.
ACGGAAGGCAGCAGUGGGGAAUAUUGCACAAUGGGGGAAACCCUGAUGCAGCGACGCCGCGUGAAGGAAGAAGUAUCUCGGUAUGUAAACUUCUAUCAGCAGGGAAGAUAAUGACGGUACCUGACUAAGAAGCCCCGGCUAACUACGUGCCAGCAGCCGCGGUAAUACGGAGGAUGCAGGCGUUAUCCGGAUUUAUUAGGUUUAAAGGGUGCGCAGGCGGGACAUUAAGUCGGCGGUGAAAUACCGUGGCCCAACCACGGGGCUGCCGUCGAUACUGAUGACCUAGAGUGCGUGUGACGUAGACGGAAUGUGACGUGUAGCGGUGAAAUGCUUAGAUAUGUCACAGAACACCGAUUGCGAAGGCAGCCUACGAAUGCGUAACUGACGCUCAUGCACGAAAGCGCGGGUAGCGAACAGGAUUAGAUACCCUGGUA